This is a long non-coding RNA of Myotis brandtii (Brandt's bat), 825 nucleotides long. RefSeq lists it as uncharacterized. The transcript has 3 exons. NCBI's taxonomy places the organism in Eukaryota, Metazoa, Chordata, Mammalia, Chiroptera, Vespertilionidae. The record is from RefSeq and is a predicted model, not a curated record.
UCAAUCAGAACGUGUCGGACUCAUCAGCUAAGACUCCCAAUAGAGUAGAACAAACGUUGGCCAAAUAUCAGCUACAGUCAACACUGAAUACCUACCAUAAAUCGGGAGGAAGCAGUGAAACCUACUGGGAGGCUCAGGACCAGCAGAAGGGCCAGUGUCCAGGGAAUGGUAAAUAUUAGAUGACCAGAUUUGAUCAUGAGCCCAUGCAGGGCACUUAGUGAUUCCGAGCAACACUUGGGAUAUCAUAAAGCAGGCACAGCAGUCUGGCAAGUUAAUCCCCAACCACUCUUGUUUCACUUGUUGGAAAGGUAAGUCAAGAAGCCCUGGGGUGGGGUGUGACCUCAGAGGAUGUUUAGGCAGUAAAGACACUCAUGUUAUGCCAAGUAACUUACUAGUAAAAAGGAACUCACAGGUUUUCUUGAUGUAAAAGGUAGAGAUCCUGAUACAGUUGAUGGCUGCUUUGAAUUUUUCCUUUAAUUGGGAGAAAAAAAACGCACAUUACAUUUGAGAAAUGCUGUUCUAAACUCUGGUUCCUGUGUUAAAAUGGAAAACAAUGUGGGGGGAUGGGAGAGAUUUCCAGAGAGCAAGUAAAGCAAAAAGGAGGAAAGCUCUGGGAGCCAGGACAGGAGCAAGCCAUGCCUUAGCGUCUACUUCCCCCUGAAAAGCAUUUGGGCAAAGCUGGGGUGAUUAUAGGGAGAGUGGAAAUGCCACAGAGCGUAGGCACGGAAAGCCGAGGGGCUGGAGAUGCCACAUCUGUGAGAUGUGUACACACUCACACAAGUUUAUAUGGACACAUAGGACUGUGUUUAUAUACACUGGUGCGUA